Molecule: ribosomal RNA, 253 nt
Filed under: uncultured bacterium
Lineage: Bacteria
Description: partial 16S ribosomal RNA
Rfam family: Bacterial small subunit ribosomal RNA
Source: RNAcentral
UACGAAGGGGGCUAGCGUUGCUCGGAAUCACUGGGUGUAAAGCGCACGUAGGCGGAUUGUUAAGUCAGGGGUGAAAUCCUGGAGCUCAACUCCAGAACUGCCUUUGAUACUGUCGAUCUUGAGUCCGGGAGAGGUGAGUGGAACUGCGAGUGUAGAGGUGAAAUUCGUAGAUAUUCGCAAGAACACCAGUGGCGAAGGCGGCUCACUGGCCCGGUACUGACGCUGCGGCGCGAAAGCGUGGGGAGCAAACAGG